RNAcentral lists this ribosomal RNA (699 nucleotides) under Alkalihalobacillus alcalophilus. Its description in RNAcentral is "bacterial SSU rRNA". It matches the Rfam family "Bacterial small subunit ribosomal RNA", at positions 62 to 743 of the family's 1533-position model. Lineage: Bacteria; Bacillati; Bacillota; Bacilli; Caryophanales; Bacillaceae. The record is from RNAcentral.
UCGAGCGGACUAAUGGGAGCUUGCUCCCAGAGGUUAGCGGCGAACGGGUGAGUAACACGUGGGCAACCUGCCCUGUAGACUGGGAUAACAUCGAGAAAUCGGUGCUAAUACCGGAUAAUAAUAGGAACUGCAUAGUUCUCAUUUAAAAGAUGGCUCCGGCUAUCACUACAGGAUGGGCCCGCGACGCAUUAGCUAGUUGGUAAGGUAACGGCUUACCAAGGCGACGAUGCGUAGCCGACCUGAGAGGGUGAUCGGCCACACUGGGACUGAGACACGGCCCAGACUCCUACGGGAGGCAGCAGUAGGGAAUCUUCCGCAAUGGACGAAAGUCUGACGGAGCAACGCCGCGUGAGUGAUGAAGGGUUUCGGCUCGUAAAGCUCUGUUGUUAGGGAAGAACAAGUGCCGUUCAAAUAGGGCGGCACCUUGACGGUACCUAACCAGAAAGCCACGGCUAACUACGUGCCAGCAGCCGCGGUAAUACGUAGGUGGCAAGCGUUGUCCGGAAUUAUUGGGCGUAAAGCGCGCGCAGGCGGUCUUUUAAGUCUGAUGUGAAAUCUCGGGGCUCAACCCCGAGCGGUCAUUGGAAACUGGGAGACUUGAGUACAGAAGAGGAGAGUGGAAUUCCACGUGUAGCGGUGAAAUGCGUAGAUAUGUGGAGGAACACCAGUGGCGAAGGCGACUCUCUGGUCUGUAACUGA